GUGAAUCAUCGAAUCUUUGAACGCAUAUUGCGCCCUCUGGUAUUCCGGGGGGCACACCUGUUCGAGCGCCAUUUCGACCCUCAAGCAUAGCUUGGUGUUGGGUAAGGCCCCCCUUAGGGGGGACCCACCCGUAACCCGUAGGCGGCAACCGCCCGCGCCCCCAGCGUAGCAAGCUAACGCACUCGCUCGGGGACGGCGUGUUGCUAGGCCUUAACUAUAACCUCAAAGGUUUGGCCUCGGAUCAGGUGGGGAUACCCGCUGAACUUAAGCAUAUCAAUAAGCGGAGGA
RNAcentral lists this unclassified non-coding RNA (288 nucleotides) under Venturiaceae sp. RNAcentral describes it as "partial contains 5.8S ribosomal RNA, internal transcribed spacer 2, and large subunit ribosomal RNA". The stretch from base 1 to 71 matches the Rfam family "5.8S ribosomal RNA", at positions 84 to 154 of the family's 154-position model. The record is from RNAcentral. Lineage: Eukaryota; Fungi; Ascomycota; Dothideomycetes; Venturiales; Venturiaceae.